AUUUGUAGCUUCUGAAGAAGGCAGAGAAGCGGGUCAGAAAGGGUGGCUGCUGCAACGUGCAAGCUGCGGAAUUUAUCCACUGCAAUACAGUGCAAACUCUGAAUUCCAAUGCCAGGUUAGACCUGCUAUUUUCUCUCUCUCUCUUUCCUGACCCACAGAAACUGGGUUUAAUGCAACUGUUCAUGCACAAAUGAGAAAUGCGCACUCAAUUCCAAAUUUGUGCUUUUAAUACUUGUUUGUUGUUUCAAAAGUGUACAUUUUUUGUUCAAAAAUACCUGUUUCAGUCUGAAUAAAAGGUUGCAGUUCUUGC
This 310-nucleotide small RNA is filed under the name Oryza sativa Japonica Group (Japanese rice). RNAcentral describes it as "sRNA Os05g0498633". Lineage: Eukaryota; Viridiplantae; Streptophyta; Magnoliopsida; Poales; Poaceae. The record is from RNAcentral.